CAUGGGGGAGGCGCGCAUGGUUGAUGAUUAUGUUCUGGGUUGGCCAUUGAGAGGGAGGCCGAAGCAAACUCCGUUAGGUUUCAGAAAACUACUUCAGGUUAGGCGGGAGAAAUAAAAAGGGUAACCAUAGAUAUAUGGUCUAGCAUCACGAGGUUCAGGUUCCUGUUGUUGAUCAACCGUUGCUUCGGUCGAGCUAGAGAUUAAAGAAGACUGAAAUUAUGGGCUCGCAGCGACGAUUGUUGUGUCCAACCUGCACAAGAAUUCCAAGAAGUCCUUCUCAGA
This is a long non-coding RNA of Triticum aestivum (bread wheat), 282 nucleotides long. RefSeq lists it as uncharacterized. The record is from RefSeq and is a predicted model, not a curated record. NCBI's taxonomy places the organism in Eukaryota, Viridiplantae, Streptophyta, Magnoliopsida, Poales, Poaceae. The transcript is spliced from 3 exons.